AGCUUUGCGCAGUGGCAGUAUCAUAGCCAAUGAAGUUUAUCUGAGGCACGAUUAUUGGUAAUUGAAAAGCAAAAACUAUAGUAAAGAAAAUGAAAGAAAAAUAUUUUU
This 108-nucleotide small nuclear RNA is filed under the name Lynx canadensis (Canada lynx). Its description in RNAcentral is "U4 spliceosomal RNA (ENSLCNG00005005624.1)". It matches the Rfam family "U4 spliceosomal RNA". From Rfam's summary of the family: U4 small nuclear RNA (U4 snRNA) is a component of the major U2-dependent spliceosome. The structure of U4 snRNA from yeast and human has been reported. The record is from Rfam by way of RNAcentral. Lineage: Eukaryota; Metazoa; Chordata; Mammalia; Carnivora; Felidae.